UACGUAGGGUGCGAGCGUUAAUCGGAAUUACUGGGCGUAAAGCGUGCGCAGGCGGUUUUGUAAGUCAGAUGUGAAAGCCCCGGGCUUAACCUGGGAAUUGCGUUUGAAACUACAAGGCUAGAGUGUGUCAGAGGGGGGUAGAAUUCCACGUGUAGCAGUGAAAUGCGUAGAGAUGUGGAGGAAUACCGAUGGCGAAGGCAGCCCCCUGGGAUAACACUGACGCUCAUGCACGAAAGCGUGGGGAGCAAAC
This 250-nucleotide ribosomal RNA is filed under the name uncultured bacterium. Its description in RNAcentral is "partial 16S ribosomal RNA". It matches the Rfam family "Bacterial small subunit ribosomal RNA", at positions 524 to 773 of the family's 1533-position model. The record is from RNAcentral.